Molecule: transfer RNA, 74 nt
Filed under: Pseudomonadota bacterium
Lineage: Bacteria; Pseudomonadati; Pseudomonadota
Also listed under: 1 other name
Description: tRNA-Ile
Rfam family: tRNA
About the family: Transfer RNA (tRNA) molecules are approximately 80 nucleotides in length.
Source: RNAcentral
GGGCCCAUAGCUCAGUUGGUUAGAGCAGCUGACUCAUAAUCAGCGGGUCUGAGGUUCGAAUCCUCAUGGGCCCA